RNAcentral lists this ribosomal RNA (240 nucleotides) under uncultured bacterium. RNAcentral describes it as "partial 16S ribosomal RNA". It matches the Rfam family "Bacterial small subunit ribosomal RNA", at positions 92 to 334 of the family's 1533-position model. The record is from RNAcentral.
CGACCGGCGCACGGGUGCGUAACGCGUAUGCAACCUACCCUGUACUGGAGGAUAGCCCGGAGAAAUCCGGAUUAAUACUCCAUGGUAAUACACUUUCGCAUGUUAGUGUAUUUAAAGAUUACGGUACAGGAUGGGCAUGCGUCCUAUUAGCUAGAUGGUAAGGUAACGGCUUACCAUGGCAACGAUAGGUAGGGGGCCUGAGAGGGUGAUCCCCCACACUGGUACUGAGACACGGACCAG